GGAAAGUUGAAAAGAACUUUGAAGAGAGAGUUCAACAGUACGUGAAACCGCCUAGAGGUAAACGGGUGGAUCCGCAAAGUCGGCCCGCGGAAUUCAGCUCGGAGGCUCGGCGCCGGUUGGGGGUCGGAGAUCUGAACGGACUCCUCUCCAGCCUGUUUGUCGUCGUGUCGCCGUGUGCACUUUCCGCGGGCAGAGCGCCACGACCGGUUCUCGAGCGGUCAGAAGGCGGCGAGCAAGGUGGGUGCCCGCUUCGGCGGCCACUUCUUAUAGGCUCGCCUGUCCCGAUCCGCUUGGGGACCGAGGAGCCGCCGCCGGUGUAGGCCGCUUCGCUCUCCUGGGAGGUUCGACUGGCAGAGACUGGGCAACCGUGUCUGCCGACCGCCGCCUAGGACGGACGAGGUGGGCCCGCCGGCACAGGGUCAGUGGCACAUCGGUCGGCCCUCCACCCGACCCGUCUUGAAACACGGACCAAGGAGUCUAACAUGCGCGCAAGUCGUUGGGCAGUACGAAACCCGAAGGCGAAGUGAAAGCAAGGGCCGUCUCUGACGCGCCUAGGUGGGAUCCCGGUCCCCUCGCUGGGGCUGGGCGCACCACCGGCCCGUCUCGUCCGCGUUGUCGGUGAGGCGGAGCAGGAGCGUGCACGUUGGGACCCGAAAGAUGGUGAACUAUGCCUGAGUAGGACGAAGCCAGAG
This 692-nucleotide ribosomal RNA is filed under the name Acmella minima. RNAcentral describes it as "eukaryotic LSU rRNA". It matches the Rfam family "Eukaryotic large subunit ribosomal RNA", at positions 358 to 857 of the family's 3401-position model. The record is from RNAcentral. Lineage: Eukaryota; Metazoa; Mollusca; Gastropoda; Littorinimorpha; Assimineidae.